CUCAAUUUGGACAAAUUGGAUCACAGAGUGGUUUCUGCCCUCUAUGGGUGUAUUUUCUGUGUGUGUGGCCAGUGUUCAGCAGAUAAAUUCCGAAUCUCCACUUCCUUUCUUUGUAGAGGCAGAGAGAGCAUACUGUGUUACUGAAAUACUCCAUGGAAGAACUUGAAAGAAACAAAACUGGUCUUUAACUUGUCAGUCCCCUUUUGCUCAGAACCAAAAAUGAAGUCUCUGUGUAACCAAAUGGCUCAUAUCAAAUGUUUUUGAUCUUUUAGAACAGAAGAAUCGAUAACAGAAGAUGAUAAGAGGAGAAACUAUGGAGGAGUGUAUGUUGGUCUACCAUCUGAAGCUGUCAAUAUGGUGUCCAAUCAGACAAAGACUGUGCAGAAAACCUGUUCAUCAAGAUCUGGAUGAAAUUUUUCCUUCAUGGGAUUUUGUAAUGUGCACAGACAUUUCCAAGGAAAUUCUAAACAGUCGCCACCCCUCCCCCCAAAUUCUUAGUUGGUAGUUGAAACCACGGGUACAUACUGAAUGUUGUGGUACUAGAAGGGAAUUGGUUAAACAACAUGCUUGGAUAUGGAACUUUCUGUGAUCCACCUGCAGAAGACAAACUUAUGAAGGGUUCUUGCCCAGCCGGUCGCUGUGUCCCUGCUGUGUUCUCACCUGAACAUCCCCACAGCUCAUGAAGAUCAUGUCUUUUCACUGAUGCUUUUUUGAUAGUUUUUAUAAAUUAAAAUCCUUCAUCUAUUUAUAACUUAAAAUAAUAAGGCACUAUCAACGAGUUACCCAAAGUAAUAUAUUUGUCUGUUAUUUUUCACUAUUUCUACUUCAUGUUGAUUUUUAGCUGUAAAAUUGAUUAAAUUGAUAACUUCCUGCUAUCUCCCUUUUUUACUAUUGGUUUUCAGCUUUAUUUAAAUGUCAAAGGAGUUUCUUUAUUGGGAACAACACAUUACAUGGCAAUACUUCAACUGCUGAGGUUUGCAUGCCGUACGUACAUUUCAAUUAACUUCUUCUUUUCUUUAGUUAAAGGCUUAUGUAACUACAAGUACUUCAUAGCCAUCAAGUCUCCCAUUCUACUUGUGUGUGAUCAAAGCAUCUUAUCAUGUUAAUUCUGUACUGUUUUCAAGGACUUGUCACUGAUGGUUAGUGGGAUAUUUGGAAAGUUCUUAAUUUGAUAACGACCUUGUGUAUCCACUUAAUACUGCAAUGUAAAUCACUCAAUUGCAUUUCAACAAUUAAAACAUUUUUAUCCCUCUU
Molecule: long non-coding RNA, 1254 nt
Filed under: Bos mutus (wild yak)
Lineage: Eukaryota; Metazoa; Chordata; Mammalia; Artiodactyla; Bovidae
Description: lncRNA (ENSBMUG00000026712.1)
Source: RNAcentral